RNAcentral lists this long non-coding RNA (1187 nucleotides) under Equus asinus (donkey). Its description in RNAcentral is "lncRNA (ENSEASG00005036887.1)". Lineage: Eukaryota; Metazoa; Chordata; Mammalia; Perissodactyla; Equidae. The record is from RNAcentral.
ACUGAUUCCUGCGAUGAUUACAUCUGUGCCAGUGCUCCACUGAUGAGGGUUUUCCCUGCGUGUUAUCUGUUCGGCAAGGUAUCAUUAUUGCCAUUUUACAGAUAAGGAAACUGAGACUUCGGGGAUAAGGAACAGCCAGCUGAGCGGAGUAGCCGAGGCUCGUGCCAAAGUCCUUGCCUUGACCCGCCGUGGCGCUCACCUCCCUGAUCUGCGUGUGCCUGUCACCACGGCCCUCCUGGUUCUGGAACUUGUGCCUUCACCCAACAGAGCUGCAGCACGGGUAGGAGAAGACAGGAUCAGGAGGUGAGCUGUGCCUAGAAGGUCCUCGCCUUUUCCAGCACUUCGCUGGGGCCCGACUGGCCUUUACAGAUCAGAACGGCAGCAGGAGAGCGGCCAGCUGCCCUCUGCAGCCCCGAGAGACCGUCUUGCAGUUUCCUCGGGGCCGACGUGUAGACGGGAGGCCACUUCGGGAUCACGUGUGGGCCGCUGAGAAAGCACCAUGAGUCUUUUUCGGUUCCCGGGGCAGUAACCUGGGGGAGUGGGCUGUGGUGAGUGUGGGCCUGUAAUGGCGGGGAAUUGGAAUGGCAUCCUCCCUGGCUGCACCGUGUCUUGGCGCUUACUGUAUACACAGCACUACACGCUUACUGUGGUUAAAACUCUCGCUCUUCCACCCUGUGAGGUCAUGCUGUCCACGCUCGUCGCCCUGGACGAAGGGGAUGUGAGUCCAGCCCUGGCACCGGCUGUGCCUCGACCUCUCUAACUCGGGGUUGAGUGGCACUAGGCUGCUGGGAGCAACAAGGGGGAGGAUGCUGGGAAGUGUUGGCAAGCCGUGGAGGUCGGAGGUCAUAAGCCGAGGGGGGUCAGCCAAGGGGAGUUCUUGUUUUAUUUCCCAAUGUGAAAGAGGCGCCAAGCCCCACGAAACAAGCCCCUCCGUGACCGCUCAUCCUCUCCUCUGUCCUGUGGGCUGCCCCGUUCUAACCUCUAUUCCAGCUUCAUGGUUAAACAUCCCAGCAUCAAUUAUUUACAGUAUGUCCCAGUGAGUAUCAGGGUUUCAGGGGACAGAGUGACUCACACAGGGGAAGUUUGUUUUUAUGGAGGGGAAAUGACAUGAAGGAAAACAGGGAAUUCUACCUGCUGACCAAGAGACUGAGGUCAGCCUAGGGAGGGCUUCUGGCAGCCAGGGUGUG